RNAcentral lists this non-coding RNA (29 nucleotides) under Homo sapiens (human). Lineage: Eukaryota; Metazoa; Chordata; Mammalia; Primates; Hominidae. The record is from RNAcentral.
UACUCUAGCCAGGGAAUUUGCCUAGUGGA